CGACCUGAGAGUAGGUGAGACUA
RNAcentral lists this ribosomal RNA (23 nucleotides) under Oreina speciosa. RNAcentral describes it as "partial 28S ribosomal RNA". Lineage: Eukaryota; Metazoa; Arthropoda; Insecta; Coleoptera; Chrysomelidae. The record is from RNAcentral.